This 452-nucleotide ribosomal RNA is filed under the name uncultured bacterium. Its description in RNAcentral is "SSU rRNA". It matches the Rfam family "Bacterial small subunit ribosomal RNA", at positions 26 to 518 of the family's 1533-position model. The record is from RNAcentral.
AGGAUAAACGCUGGCGGCGUGCCUAACACAUGCAAGUCGAACGUCCUACGCAAGUAGGGAGUGGCGGACGGGUGAGUAACACGUGGGCAAUCUACCUUUCGGUGAGGAAUACCGGCGAGAAAUCGCCGACAAUACCGCAUACGCUUCGCAAGAAGCAAAGUCGCAAGACGCCGGAGGAGGAGCCUGCGCCCGAUUAGCUGGUUGGUGGAGUAAUGGUCUACCAAGGCGACGAUCGGUAGCUGGUCUGAGAGGAUGAUCAGCCACACUGGGAUUGAGAACGGCCCAGACUCCUACGGGGGGCAGCAGUGAGGAAUUUUGGUCAAUGGGGGAAACCCUGAACCAGCGACGCCGCGUGGACGAUGAAGGUUUUCGGACCGUAAAGUCCUUUUGGCAGGGAAAAUUUUGAUUGUACCUGCAGAAUAAGAGGUUGCUAACUCUGUGCCAGCAGCCGC